GGCAGCCACUGCCCAAAUCUGCAGGUCAGCGUGGCCGCCCUCAGAAAGUCACGUGAAUGGUCUGUACAGGCAGUCCAAAAUUCUGCCCUGGUGUGCCUCUCCUGCGCCAGUAACACACUGCCCGGUUCUGGGCUCUGCUCAGCAGCAGCCAAAGCGUGCCGUGCCCCUGGCACCUAACGCCUGCACCCCUACUCUCUUGGCGGGCCAAGGCUCGGGCCAGCUGUACACCCGGAGCUUCUUGCCCAACCGCCUGCAGGCGCGGGAUUGACAGACGAGCUUGGUGGGCUGGUCCAUGUAACAACAACGGAAGUCAGCAGCAGAAAUUAGGUACAUAGCUCGCUAUUUAAAUGGCCACUGGGCGUCAGCUGCAUCUUCUGAUACGUGCUUGAUGCUUGAUAUUUGUAGAGACGAAGGCAGUAAGACACAGACCACGUACACACGCACGUUUAUGGUGCUACAUUUCGCAACAAGGAAUCUGCCUGCAAAGACAAGGGGAGGAAUUGGACUUGAUUUAUCAAAAAUGGGAUUGGGGAAAAAAAAAGGAAAAUCAGAGAACAGUUUGCAUUAGCUUCUUCUGUGGCUGACAUCCCCGGUUCCCUAAACGUCUCGGCACGCAGGAGUGCGGACUGGCCUGGGAGGAGGCUGCAGCCAGGCCCCUGCUAGUGGCGUAAGGACCACAGCAAAGGAGCCCUGUGCUGCUACAGAAAAAAGACGACCUGGCCUGCAGCCAGUUCCCAUGGUUUUGGACUAGUCAAUCAGCCGAAUGACAACAAUGCACCUUUGACUCUCAGAAUCUUUUAGGAAGAGUACUGAGCAGCCAUCUCAGCAGUGCUGCAAGAACAUCUCUUGCAUCUCUUCUUUGUAUGACCCGCACCUGCCUUCCCUGGUUUAAACUGCUUGGCAGGAUCUCUACAGGCCCACCACUGCACUUCUGCUGAGUGUACCCUGCAGCCAGAAAAUACUGUCCUCCUGGGCACACUCUUAUUCCAGGAAAUUUGUGAUCAGCUGGCACAUCUCAUUGGAAUGAGGGAGAUGAGUUGGACCGGAGGCUGAUGCCCACGUACUUUCUCAGAACCAUCAGGAGAACAUUUUUAGGCAGCUCCGGAAGGGGUCAAAGACCACUUCCAUAGCACACCCCAGCUCAUACGAAAGUGCUGCAUUUCCACAACCCAUCACAGCUUGUGCAGAGGAUCGCAGAAUGCUUUUGCGUCGUGCUGCUGCUGCUUCAGUUCACGUGUGUAGUCAAAUUCCACAGAGCAGUACUUAAUCCCACGGAUUCAUUACUCAAUCAAACAAAUGGCGAAGCGAUGGCACUAGAAAAGAUUCCAGUGACUUCCAGCAAGAAGAGAAAUCAUACAAGAAACAGAAAAACAAAGCUAAGAAGCAGUACAAUAAACAGAAAAUUAUUGCAUAAGAAAGGUGAAGAAGCUCAAAGCUGGGUGUGAUGAAGAUAAAUAGAACAUGUUGAUGGUGUUCAAGCUAAGAAAUGCCUGUUAACUGGACGCCAGCCCACCAGCACAGACGGCCAGAGCUGGCUGGAGAAUACCAGUCCCACCACGCAGACGGGGAGAUCCACUCGCAGGCAGAAUCACUCCUGCUCCGCCACGUCCUCAGGCAGCUCCUGGCCAAACACAACUGCAAUUAGGGAGGCAUCGCGUUCAGAUUAAUAAACCGUGCUUUAGUGUGUAUCCAACCGCCGUGCAUGGGGACCGGGGACGGAGCGGGAGGGAGAAGGGUAAUGACUCCAUCCCAGCACCAUGCUAACCGCAGCUACAUGGUUUCUGGACAGGAGGAAGCUCCCAGUUGCAGAAUGGGCAGGAGAAGCUGACAGCUGCCUGUAAAAGCCACCUACACAGGUCUGCCUGAAGGGUGAGGCACCCUGUCGUGGGCAAGCUCUGCUGCCACCAUGUAUGUCUGUACCUGCAGUGCUCAAGGACUGACAAGCAAAACCGUGU
This is a long non-coding RNA of Grus americana (Whooping crane), 1955 nucleotides long. RefSeq lists it as uncharacterized. The transcript is spliced from 5 exons. NCBI's taxonomy places the organism in Eukaryota, Metazoa, Chordata, Aves, Gruiformes, Gruidae. The record is from RefSeq and is a predicted model, not a curated record.